Osmia lignaria (orchard mason bee) is the source of this 2469-nucleotide non-coding RNA. NCBI's taxonomy places the organism in Eukaryota, Metazoa, Arthropoda, Insecta, Hymenoptera, Megachilidae. The record is from RefSeq and is a predicted model, not a curated record.
AUAAUAUUAAUAUAUUAAUUUUGCUAUUAUAAAGGAGUUGAUACUCAAGUAAAUCUUUGUAAUUUAUUUAUUGAUAAGUAAAAUUACAUAUAUCCACAAACACAAUACGUUCUUUUCACGGAGUGUAAUAAUGCGAUAAAAUUUGUGAGUGGCGAGGAGAAAAUCCUUGUGUGAUGGAAAUAGAGGGAUACAGGAGGAUUAGUUUAAUCCUCCGGUUUAGUAACUUUUCUACUCGUCGAAGAACGUCACAGAAACGUUCCAUGGCAAACGUGUAGUUUCCGAUCCUACAAUUAUUAAAAAAAAAAGAAUGUAAUUUAUUGAGUUUAUUUAACUCAAAUUGUGUUUCUUUAUCCGUCGUUUCUAUCCGUUCUCUCCAAUCCGAUGGACGUUAUAAAAGGUCAAUUUUUUAAAAUCGAAUUUAGAUACUGACUAAUUCCAUCUAGUGUUGAUUGUUUCUUACAAAGUCAGCGCGUUUUUCUUCUACGUCAGAGAAAUGUAGCGAUAUCGGAGAGAACUUUGAUUUGAGCGUGAAAUCGCUUUGUUUAAGCGUCGACGGAUGUUGGAACGUAAGAUCGAAAACUAAACAGAGUUGCGUGUAGGCGUAUACCCGAGUAUCAAUAUUGCACAUAUGAAUAUUUAUUAAUCGGACCUCUCGCAUGUCUUUAGUUAUUGUUGCAAUAUCAAGGUUUGAAGACGCAAAAUCGAUAGAAUCGUACGAAUCGAUAUUAUACUGAAAGAACUGCAAAAAUAAAGUUUAGUUCCGUUAUUAUUUCCCAUUUCGCCGACUUCUAAAUCCAAACCGCUAUGCAAAGGACGUAUAUAUUUUUUUGUUCCUUAUUUUUUUUUUUCUCUCGUUUCCUCACUUCUCGCGUUUUUCCCUUUUGUCUUUUUUUCUUCUUUAAGCUAAAGUUAAUUAUCUCGGUAGAUAUUUAUUACCUCUUUACAAAAAUCAAUUCUUAAACUUAUACAGGGUGGCUCGAUGCAAAUUCACAAUAUCUUGAAGUCUGAUGACGAUGACAUUGUCAAAUUAACAGACCUAAACUGAUAUGCUUCCAAAGGGGCAUCUCCAGCUACCGUUAGCUUUUUUAUUCCCCGCGGCCAAGGUCGUCGUUAAAAUAACCUAUCCUCUUCCUUCGUUCGCUAUAUAAAAGCAUUAUUAGAUUAUUCACAAUUAGCGCAAUUGAAAAUUCUUUUAUUAUUUCGCAAUCUGCGCCUUCAUUUUCAAAGUGUAUAAACAACCGGAAAACCGAAAUCCGGCGCGCGCCAUUUGAACAGCUAACGAUUGAACCAGGUAGUCAAUGUAUUGUCCCAGGUCAGUAUUCAGACAAAGGCGUGUAAAAAGACAAAGAUACACGCAUACUGACACAAAGCGAUCGUUCAACCCCGCCCUUCUUCAAACUCUGGAAACUCACGAAUGGGAUUUCUCCAUUCGUCCAUUUUUACUACUACGAAAUGCGCGCGCACCGGAAGUUAAUCUUCCAAUUCUUGUGUACAUUUUGAAAAGAAAGCCACAAAUUGAUAAGUGGUAAAUAAAUUUUCUCGUUUCUUUUCAUGUGAAGAUUGUACACAGGGCCGGCCCUGAUUGUACACCUGUAUAUUAUCAACGUAGAUUGAUAAACAUUGUCAGCUCAAAGGUGCUUUAUCAUUAGAGAUACGAUUAGCAAAAACACAUCUGUUAACGUAGGUCAAUCAUUAUAUGAUCGCAUACCACCUUUGUUUUAUUCUCGUUUUUUUCUUUUUUUUUUUUUUUUUUUUUUGUACAACUGAUAGAAAUCACGAUCGAAAGAAAGUACAGUGUCUAGUCUGAACGAAGAAAAAUCAUUAUAACGUGUAUUGUAUACUCUUCAACAUCUGUGAAUUCGUAUCAAGUCAGGUUUUACACACGCGACGUGUCAAUGGUUUCCUUCUCGUUUCAACGACUAUAUGCUAUAGGAAGGCAGCUGCUUCACGUGCGCUUAUAGGAAUCCAAGGAUAUUCAGUGUCCUCUGUUUGCGCAUAUAGCGCUUAAUUUAUUUUUCGCAGAAAUUAAACAAAUACGAUAUAUGUAUAGGUAUAACUAAUUACAACGUUCACAGAAAAUUGGUAAGAGGUUAAGGUCACCUUAAUACUUGUACGGCUAAAGACUGUUGUAAUUGUACAUACAGAACGAUUCGUUCGACUGGAUACGAUUAAAAAUAAUGUACAGUUUAAACGUAAGACAUGCAAAUAAAUCUUGUAUCAUUGAAAGCUAUGCUUUCCCACGCGACCCUGGCUAAAGUGCAGCCUACUACCAUUUGACCAUAUACAAAUAUAUAAGCAUUAAACAUGUAAUAUAUUAUCGUUAUAAUAUAUAUAAUAUAUAUACGCGUUCAUAUAUAUUAUAUAUAAUAUAUAUAAUAUUAUAAUAUAUAUUAAUAUCCUAAGAUAAUUAUUGUAUGAACCAUCUUUCGAAAAGGAACGAUGAAAUGAAAAAGAAAAAUAAAAAUAAAA